Molecule: ribosomal RNA, 1373 nt
Filed under: uncultured bacterium
Lineage: Bacteria
Description: bacterial SSU rRNA
Rfam family: Bacterial small subunit ribosomal RNA
Source: RNAcentral
UUGAACGCUGGCGGCAGGCCUAACACAUGCAAGUCGAACGGUAGCACAGAGAGCUUGCUCUUGGGUGACGAGUGGCGGACGGGUGAGUAAUGUCUGGGAAACUGCCCGAUGGAGGGGGAUAACUACUGGAAACGGUAGCUAAUACCGCAUAACGUCUUCGGACCAAAGUGGGGGACCUUCGGGCCUCACACCAUCGGAUGUGCCCAGAUGGGAUUAGCUAGUAGGUGGGGUAAUGGCUCACCUAGGCGACGAUCCCUAGCUGGUCUGAGAGGAUGACCAGCCACACUGGAACUGAGACACGGUCCAGACUCCUACGGGAGGCAGCAGUGGGGAAUAUUGCACAAUGGGCGCAAGCCUGAUGCAGCCAUGCCGCGUGUAUGAAGAAGGCCUUCGGGUUGUAAAGUACUUUCAGCGGGGAGGAAGGCGAUGGAGUUAAUAGCUUCAUCGAUUGACGUUACCCGCAGAAGAAGCACCGGCUAACUCCGUGCCAGCAGCCGCGGUAAUACGGAGGGUGCAAGCGUUAAUCGGAAUUACUGGGCGUAAAGCGCACGCAGGCGGUCUGUCAAGUCGGAUGUGAAAUCCCCGGGCUUAACCUGGGAACUGCAUUCGAAACUGGCAGGCUAGAGUCUUGUAGAGGGGGGUAGAAUUCCAGGUGUAGCGGUGAAAUGCGUAGAGAUCUGGAGGAAUACCGGUGGCGAAGGCGGCCCCCUGGACAAAGACUGACGCUCAGGUGCGAAAGCGUGGGGGAGCAAACAGGAUUAGAUACCCUGGUAGUCCACGCCGUAAACGAUGUCGACUUGGAGGUUGUGCCCUUGAGGCGUGGCUUCCGGAGCUAACGCGUUAAGUCGACCGCCUGGGGAGUACGGCCGCAAGGUUAAAACUCAAAUGAAUUGACGGGGGCCCGCACAAGCGGUGGAGCAUGUGGUUUAAUUCGAUGCAACGCGAAGAACCUUACCUACUCUUGACAUCCAGAGAACUUAGCAGAGAUGCUUUGGUGCCUUCGGGAACUCUGAGACAGGUGCUGCAUGGCUGUCGUCAGCUCGUGUUGUGAAAUGUUGGGUUAAGUCCCGCAACGAGCGCAACCCUUAUCCUUUGUUGCCAGCGGUCCGGCCGGGAACUCAAAGGAGACUGCCAGUGAUAAACUGGAGGAAGGUGGGGAUGACGUCAAGUCAUCAUGGCCCUUACGAGUAGGGCUACACACGUGCUACAAUGGCGCAUACAAAGAGAAGCGACCUCGCGAGAGCAAGCGGACCUCAUAAAGUGCGUCGUAGUCCGGAUUGGAGUCUGCAACUCGACUCCAUGAAGUCGGAAUCGCUAGUAAUCGUAGAUCAGAAUGCUACGGUGAAUACGUUCCCGGGCCUUGUACACACCGC